CAUGGUUCAAUAGUGAAAGACGGUUUUGCUGUCACUUAUAGAUGGAUCCGCGCCGCAUUAGCUAGUUGGUAAGGUAACGGCUUACCAAGGCAACGAUGCGUAGCCGACCUGAGAGGGUGAUCGGCCACACUGGAACUGAGACACGGUCCAGACUCCUACGGGAGGCAGCAGUAGGGAAUCUUCCGCAAUGGGCGAAAGCCUGACGGAGCAACGCCGCGUGAGUGAUGAAGGUCUUCGGAUCGUAAAACUCUGUUAUUAGGGAAGAACAAAUGUGUAAGUAACUAUGCACGUCUUGACGGUACCUAAUCAGAAAGCCACGGCUAACUACGUGCCAGCAGCCGCGGUAAUACGUAGGUGGCAAGCGUUAUCCGGAAUUAUUGGGCGUAAAGCGCGCGUAGGCGGUUUUUUAAGUCUGAUGUGAAAGCCCACGGCUCAACCGUGGAGGGUCAUUGGAAACUGGAAAACUUGAGUGCAGAAGAGGAAAGUGGAAUUCCAUGUGUAGCGGUGAAAUGCGCAGAGAUAUGGAGGAACACCAGUGGCGAAGGCGACUUUCUGGUCUGUAACUGACGCUGAUGUGCGAAAGCGUGGGGAUCAAACAGGAUUAGAUACCCUGGUAGUCCACGCCGUGAACGAUGAGUGCUAAGUGUUAGGGGGUUUCCGCCCCUUAGUGCUGCAGCUA
Molecule: ribosomal RNA, 679 nt
Filed under: uncultured Staphylococcus sp.
Lineage: Bacteria; Bacillati; Bacillota; Bacilli; Caryophanales; Staphylococcaceae
Description: bacterial SSU rRNA
Rfam family: Bacterial small subunit ribosomal RNA
Source: RNAcentral